CGUAGGGUGCAGGCGUUAAUCGGAAUUACUGGGCGUAAAGCGUGCGCAGGCGGUUUGCUAAGACAGGUGUGAAAUCCCCGGGCUUAACCUGGGAACUGCGCUUGUAACUGGCAAGCUAGAGUGUGGCAGAGGGGGGUGGAAUUCCACGUGUAGCAGUGAAAUGCGUAGAGAUGUGGAGGAACACCGAUGGCGAAGGCAGCCCCCUGGGCUAACACUGACGCCCAUGCACGAAAGCGUGGGGAGCAAACAGGAUUAGAUACCCUGGUAGUCCACGCCCUAAACUAUGUCAACUGGUUGUCGGGGAAGCAAUUCCUUGGUAACGAAGCUAACGCGUGAAGUUGACCGCCUGGGGAGUACGGCCGCAAGGUUA
Molecule: ribosomal RNA, 370 nt
Filed under: uncultured organism
Description: bacterial SSU rRNA
Rfam family: Bacterial small subunit ribosomal RNA
Source: RNAcentral